Long non-coding RNA from Oryza brachyantha (malo sina), 1450 nucleotides. RefSeq lists it as uncharacterized. The record is from RefSeq and is a predicted model, not a curated record. The transcript has 3 exons. NCBI's taxonomy places the organism in Eukaryota, Viridiplantae, Streptophyta, Magnoliopsida, Poales, Poaceae.
AUAUACCAGCAACUGAUGUAGCGACAGGGGAUUCAUUCAAGAGAAAGUGAUAUGGCAGAAAAGCUUUGACUUCAGAGAGCCGUGACUUGGACAAUGAGAGCUGCAUUGUUUCUCAGCGUCUCCUGGCUGCGGUCUCUCUCUGGGCGUUGAAGUACACAGCAGCCACAGGAAGGCCAAGAUCAUUCUCCUCGGCAAACCGACGGGUGUUGAAAUGGUCCCUGAAGGAUGGCACAAGUACAGUUUGCCUGCGUUUCUGCUUGAAGAGCACAAAGAUGAACCUGUGGAUGCCUAUGUUUGGCUUCGGGCUCUCGUAGCUUAUGACCUCCCGUCCUUAAAUCAGAAAGUGAGACAAUUCGUUGUUUAUUCAAAAGAAGCAAAUGAGUGAGUAAGAUGGGAACAAAUUGUCGCAGUUUAUUAGAGGAAGGACCUACCAAAAGAAGCGUCCGUUGUCCCGGGUAUAUCAGUGACAAUCCUGUGCAAGUGUAAAGACAAAAAAUGCUUCAGUACCUGCGUGGAAGUGUCUGCGCCCUCAAGUGCUGAUCUUUGCACACAUUGUUUAUGUAGAUAGAUGGUGAUGUUUCCUGUUUACCGUCGAAACUGCUGUUGCUUGGCACCUUGUCACUUGCUACAUCUGUCCCAAAAUAAAAGCACUUAUAGAUUGUUUAGUUGGGAUCAAGGUUAAAAAGAAAAGAAGAAUGGAUGUGGGUAAAAGGAUAAGUAGGUACAAGAUAGAAAAAGUGUAUAACAUUUAAAUUUUUGAAAUGUUUAUAUUUUGGAACAGAUGAAAUAGACGCAGAUGUUACACCUUGAAACGCCACAAUGAAACGUCCACCAAACCAAACGUCAGCCCCUCAAAAAUGACAGCUGUGGUGAGUGAAUGUGUGUUGAUGGGAGGAUCAUUGUGGGGGCAGCCUGUGGGAGGCAGCAAGAUACUCAGAUGAUGGCAGGCAGACUUUGGACGGAGGAUGCCAUGAUCCAAUGGUAUAUCUAUGAAUCAGUGAUUCUGCGUACCUCGCCCGUUGAUUGAGUUCCGUCUUAGAGCUUCUUCGGACCAUAGAAAUUUUAUAGGAUUUUUAAAGAAAACAAUUCAAUUCCUUCAUUUUCUUUUUAAAAAUCCUUCAAACCGAAGAGGCUCUGAAUCUAGUUCCUGCUAAUUGUGGAUUCACUUCAUGGAUGAGGGGGUGUUCAAUGGCCAAGAGUGUGUAGAAACAUUUCUCUCUAAGUUAGUGGAAAUGUGAAUGUUCUUUGAUCCUUCUUGAAGCACCACUCUCUUGUCAAAUCGACAAAUGCGGACAGCACUGCAAUGAAGGGCCUUAUGCUCAGUACCCAUACUAUAGCACUUAACGCACAAAUGUUAAUGGAACCCUAGCACUAAUAUUAUUUCUUAGACAAAUUCGUCUGUACAAUGGUAUUUUAUUCAUUUGUACAAUGGUAUUUUAUAGAACUCGUA